RNAcentral lists this unclassified non-coding RNA (255 nucleotides) under Hevea brasiliensis (rubber tree). Lineage: Eukaryota; Viridiplantae; Streptophyta; Magnoliopsida; Malpighiales; Euphorbiaceae. The record is from RNAcentral.
AAAUAAAAAAUAAAAAAUAAAAAUCCUAAGAACAACUACAAUCUCUUUCUCUUUCAUUUAUACAGUUCUAAAGAGUAAUGAGGUCCAACUUUACUACACUGAGCUAGCCUCAAUUAUGGCCAUCACAUUAACUAAAUGUAUGGUGGAAGUUUGUUUUAAAGUGUGAUAUGAAGCAAGAGAGGAAGAUAAAUACAUGGUUGACUCACAACCCACCGGCUCAAGCUUUCAGUUUAAACUGCAAUGCCUAAGUUGGGC